This 560-nucleotide long non-coding RNA is filed under the name Manacus vitellinus (golden-collared manakin). Its description in RNAcentral is "lncRNA (ENSMVIG00005017318.1)". Lineage: Eukaryota; Metazoa; Chordata; Aves; Passeriformes; Pipridae. The record is from RNAcentral.
AUGCUGGAGCCAUACAUUUACAUGCUGUUCAAUCAGGACCACGCACAUGUGCAAGUAGUACCUGACUUCUGCAGUCUCCCAUUUACUGUACCACACACCUCCACACCAGGUCAGAGGAAGACCCCUUUGAAAAUGAGGCACUUGAUGAUUGCAGAGGAACAGCAAAGACAUGGAAAAGACAUUGAGGUCCUGUUGCUCCCAUUGGAAACUUCUGUUGGCUGCAGCAUGAGUUGGAUUGGACCCAGAGAAACUGAAUACACACAAGUAAUGAUGAGUUGGCCAUACAAGCAAGGAAAAUCACAGAUAACAGUCUUGUCUUCAUGAAGAAAAACACUUCAGAGAUUCUCUGACCAGGUCCUUUGUCCCACUCUGGUGGACACCAUGUCACCCUCAAGCCUCACAGAAAUGGGACCUUGUGUUGGGGUCAGCAUAAAGAUCCACAUACUCAGUGCUUCCUGCCAGAGUCACCAAUUGUCGUCUGCUGCAACAUCUCAUGCUGUGUCAGUCUCGUUCACCAGCUUCCUUCUGUCUCAGCGCAGCUGCAAACCAACCAGUCGUUU